GAAAUAUAUUAUAAACUUUAUUAUAUUACUCAAUUUUUCAUUGUAGUUAUCGACAAAUUAACAAUCAAAUACAUUUGUUAUUAUCUGUUCUAUUCAAUUUUUUAUUUUGAACGUCAAAAAUAAUUAUAUCGUUGUUUUUUUCAAUUUGUUGUAAAUUUAAAAAAAAAGUAUCUGGGAAAUACGAGUGGAUGAAAUAAGAAAAUGAAAAAGAAUAGAAUUAUCCAGUUUUUGUCAAUAUGCUCAUCUGAUAUUAUUCACAGGGCUCUUUGAAAAGAUCAACCGAAUCAACAAUGAUAAAUUUGAAGCGUAACGCGAAUAAUCACGCGAAUAGACAAAAAGCGAAUGGAAACAAAAGCGCGCAAAUGCGAGAGGAAAAAAAUCAUGAUUCUUCUCUAUCGGUUUCGGAACAUUUAAUUCAGAGAUGCAGUGGGAAAGAGUGAGGAGGAGGGUUAUUCAUGGGAGCGAGCGAAUUAAUGCGAAAAUUUAAUGCAGCUGUCACGUGUCCAACCGUUACUAAAUCUACGUAUAACGUCAUUAAAUCGGCGAAAUCGGCGCUGCCAUGACUCUACACGCGUUUUGUUUCACCUCGUCCACACAGGCCGUAUUGUAACGUGUGACCCGUUUUGCACUCACUAAUUGUAAUAAUUUUCUGACUCCCGAGUGUGCCAUAAAAGCGUCGAAAGGAUGCGGACAACCGUUCGAAUUACGAGGUUAUAUAGGUCGUUUCAUAGGUUUGGUAUACAGGAUCGAUCAUCCAAUUGAGAGGUUUAUAAAAAAAAAAAAAAAAGAAAAAAGAAAAAUAUGAAAUACAAACAAUUUGACGAAUAUGUACUUACGUAUUCUAUGGUGUCGAACAGGUUGUGAAUCUGCACGUCAACAAUCGACAUAUAACCUCAAAAGGGAACAAUUUUUUUUUUUAUACUGUUAACUAUUUGCACUAUUGGCACAAUGAUGAAUCAAUAUCUCUCAUUCUUUUCAUUUUUGUCAAACUUUUGUUGAACUUUAUUUAAAUGAAAAAAGUGGUCUUUGACCAAUAUGAAUUUGCACCGAUAUCUCAAGAGUUUCGAAUCUUACAGCGAACUUUUCCAUAAAUUAUAUAGAGGAAAAUGUGGAUAUGCUAAAAAACAUGUAACGAAUAUAUUCUCUGCGAUAUUCAGAAUCUGGAGAACACAAGAAUUUUACAUGUUGCCCUUUGGCAUAAAUAAAUACUAAACAUGCUAGAUACUUACCUUGGAUAAAACGAGCACGAAUUUGAUUAUUUCAAAACUUAAAACCAGCCAUUAUUUCGCCCGAUUUCACCUGAUUCGAGGGAGUCGAAUGCCUGAUCCCUUUAAAUAUUACAUUUCAUAGAAUUAAAAACUUCUCUUCUAUCAUAUUAAUUAUGAUUAAUUUAAACUUGAUAAUAAGGAUACUACUUAAGAUAUAACAAAACGUGAUAUCUUAGCUUUUGCAAAGUAGAAGAGCGCUAAUUUCCGAUCACGUGGUCGAACAAUUCUCUGAAGAAUAUUUUCAACCGGUCCUGAUGGGAGAAAGUCUGUUCCAUUGUUGGAGAAUUUUAAAGAUGGCAAGGAUAAAAGGAGAGGACCCGUUUAUCGAUCAACGGUGAAACAUGUUUCCAAAACCGACAAUCUAUUACAUCGAUCAGCCUUGGAAAUCUCGAGGAAUCAUAUCUUGCCUGCAACGGAAAGUCGUCUGCAAAAUGUAUUCCCUCCCCUCGAUACAGUCCAUAUGCAAACGACGAUGCAGUUUGUUCGAAUCUGUUCUAUCCAAACAGCUGCACCGUGUACUCAUUGAAACUAUACACCCACGUAAAUGUAUGUAUGCAUACAGAAUCCCAGAGGUGCACGGUAGUAUGGAAUCGGUUUACCCCGGUCGACUCUCUUAUCCCAAGAAGGGAAAGGCAAAACACCGUGAGAGGGUACAUAUGUUCGGUGCAAGCGGCCGGUAAUCGAUCAUGGAAAUCCUGUAAAAAGUAGCAGGGAUGUCUGGCCCAUCGGUCUCCGAGUGUCAAACGAGAAUUAAUAGCUCGCCAGAGUAAUGUACAAUGUGUACUAGACCGGUUGGUACACGAUGAAUAAAGAUGAGCCCGAUGGACGAAUCGCUUCAUCGAUGAUGUUGAAGAAACAAAGGAGAAAAAAUGGAGGUGGCAUAGGGAGAAGGAAGAUGGGAGGAACGUAGGAAUAGAUCGUAGUAAUAGACGCGAAAGACGGAAAUAAACGCUUUGACGAGCGGUAGCCUCGGUUCCCUCUGUUAAAAAGAUUAAUGAGGAGAGAUCGUUUCCGGGACUUCAAUUUUAUUAAAGAAGGUUCAAAGGGAAUCCUUCGCGAUACAGUGUAUCCCUUCGCCCUGUCCGCCAGCAGAUUUAAAGUGGAAUGGAGGAAAGCGAUGGAAGGAAAAAGGAGGGAAUCAGCACAGUGUUGCAUCGCGAACAGUAAAGAAAAUCCUGGUAUUGUGAAAAAGAUGCAACGUAGACAAUGCGUAGACAGAAUCGAUGCAUGGGAUAUGUUAUAUUCGUUGGAAAUGAAGUGGAAAUUUUUACUGAAUCGUCAAUCACAAUUUCAUUGGAUUCUCAUCAAACUGGAUUACACAACAGACGGAAAUUUCGUAUGUGAAACACACUUAAAAGAAAAAUCUUCUCGACGAUGGAAUAAUAAAUUACCAGAAAUCACGAUAGCCUCGCGAUAAUGUCGAUCGAAGCUCGGCACUUCCUCUACAAAUCGUCUCCAUUUUGAAGCAUCGUGAAGCACGCCAAUCGAAAAUAUUGGAUGACUAUCGACAAAGAGGGAUACAGCAAGAAAUGCAGUAGUCUGGAUGAGAUCAGAAUUAAUAAACGAUCCUGUUUGGAAAACUUUCUAGUCCUUUAAGAACAUUCGGGCAUCGUGACUCAACAUCGCGACGAUACACCCGGUUUCGUGUCUAUUAUACAAAGCUGUCUCGAAAACUUGAGAGGAAAAAAAUAUAAAAAGAAUAGAAAAAAAAGUAGCGAGAAAAGAAAGACGGGAAAAGGGAACACAAAGUUUCCAUCACGCAAGUGAGAAGUCUACUCGCUUGCUCACUCGCUCAUUCGCACGCCUCUGCGAAGAUUUACGCCUGGUCGUCUGUAAUUUAAUAGAGGAUACUUUGCCGGAGUUCCUUCGAGAGUUACCUGUUCUGUUCGCACGGCCCGCGGAACGUGAGCUGACUUUGUGUCUCGGCAUAUCGUAGGGAAAGAAGGAUAAAAAAAAAUAGCCUAUGGAAGAAGGAAAAGGAGAAAGCGAGGAAGAAGGGAAAGAAAUGAAAGAGAAGCCAGAUUGCGCGCAGAUCGUAGUGUCGUUAUUCACCGAACCGGCUCGAAUAUCUAAUUACGAUGAAAGAGGCUGUCCACGUAGCGGGGUCCCAAUGAAAAAUUCAAUAUGAAACUGUAAUCGAGAACUCUGUCUUUCUCUAUGGAUUAGUAUCGGCGGCCUGGGUGCUUUCUUCGCUUCCAAUGUCCGUGAUUUAUGACCGGGCCACACGUAACGCGCAUCAGUUGAAUAAUUUUCUCUGCCGGCUCGAUGUACGAUACUUUCCCAUUCUCAUCGAUCUCCAAGUGUCAAACUGGUAUUAGAAUCGGCCGAAUGUUGUACUGAUGUCUUAUCGAGUUCUCGUCGUUGAAGGCUCAUCUUGCCUUCAACCCCCUUCUACUUUUGGGUGAAUCAAACAGAGUUCACAGAAAUGGAAGUAAAUCGACUGACAAAAAAGCCAAUCGAUUCUGAUAUUUAUUCAAGUUGAUUUCGAGGUGAACGUAGUUCAGGUGAUAUUUUAUCCGGAGUGAAGAAGUGAAGAAAGAAAACUUAAAAGAGAUAUUUUUGUGUUGAGACAGUUAUGGAGAUAGGUUCGAGUCAGAACUGUUGCUUCUAGCCUGAAGAGUUUAUAGUUAUAUAUAGAAUAAGAGAAAAGAAAGAUUUGAUAAUAAUAUUAAUAAAAAUUAUAAGAAAGUUAUAAGAAAAAAGAAAUAAUUUUCAACAAAAGUGUAAAACCAUCAAUCUAAUGACAUUCUUAAUUGCAGAUUCGACAAGAAUUUCUAGUUUAAGACAUUAAAACUGUGAUGCUUUCUAUAAGAAAUUUCAAAGGAAAAGCGACAAAAACAAGUCCUCGAUUAAAUCCCGCAUCUAGUCCUGAUAAGUUUCUUUCUGCGCGUUAAUGAUCCUCAAAUCUUCACAAAAGACUCGGAUCGCAAUCUUGUUUCCUUUUAGAAUACCUGUUUAUCUUGUAGCAAUAUCGAACCAUAGACGAGAAAGAUUAGACAUGACAAGAUUAGACUUGUUAUGAGGUGAGAUAGGGAAUUCAAAUCUUCCCUUUCGAACUUCCUUAGCAAAACAACGAUCUGCGAGGAACACGUGGGAUGUGAGACGUUCAACAAAAUGUAAAAAACGAAGAAACAUGGGAGACGAAGCUGUGCAGGCGCAAUGAUAACGUCGAGGAAUUUUCACGUCGCGGCUCUUAAUAAAACUUACGAAACGCACGAAACGUAAUAAACGAGCGACGUGUAUAGGUGAUACACGCGGCCAGGCGACUGACCCACUUUUUCUCAAGAUGUAUGAAUAUUAGUUUAACGAACUUGCCGCAACGAAGAUAUACCUGCCACUCUUUCCUUCUUGCUUUUUCCGUAGGUGGAUAGUAUUGCGCUUCGUGUACUUGCAUUGCACGAAUUUUUUUUCACACUAAACGAGCCGUCUUCAACUCGGGUGGUAAUCAGCCAUCUUCUUAUUUUCACAAACGUUUUGCAUUUUAAGCACGAUGUCACGUAGAGAUAUCAUUUUUAUCAUCAUUCUUAAUCUAAUAUCUUUCGUGUGAUAUUUCAAGAAUAUCUAAUAUAAAAUUGUAAAAUCUAUUUGUUAAAUCUAUAAUAUAUAUAUUAUUUAACACUUGUCAAUUUAGUACAAUAUCAUCCGUUGGUAAUCUAUAGCAUAAAAUGCCUCUAGAUGUCAGUUUGAUCGUAAUUCUCUAGUAGGGAGAAAGCAAGCAGAUUAACGCCGGUCAGAGUAAUAAUUCGUGCGGAGAACAUCGGAAACGGUUGGAACGUCUGAAUCGCAUAUCCGGCCGAAAUGGCCGGAUACGAAUCGAGUGUCAGCUUUGGGAAUUCAGCCGGUCGAUCGGUCGAUUAUACACGCCGUAAUAGAGCGUCACGCAACUAUGAGAAUCCGUUGUGUACUGGUUGGCUUCGAGCUGCCUCGAGAUGUGUCGAAACAGAAGCUUCCACGCCACGCGCCACGCUUCAGGAUUUGCAAGUGGACACGUGUAUGCAGUUACCCUUUGGCACCGUGUUCUCGACGUGGAAUUAACAACACGACGUCAUUAGACCGGAUGGAAUAACUAAUGAAAGACCUUUGAACGGUGAAGAUUGAUUUUCAGAAAUAUAAAGAGCAUUUCUAGUUGUAAAUUGAUUCAUACGGUUAAAAUGUUUGAUUUUUUUAAGUCCCUAGUUUAUUUAAAAAUCUUUCUAUAUACAAAUUGCAAAGAAUUAAAACUUUUUAUAAAUUAUAUCUAAUACCUUUUUCCAUGCAUCGAAUAAGUUACUUUUGUAUCGAUAGAUUGAAAAUUGUCAUUUUAUAAAUGUUGAAACAUCUCUUGACGUAAUAAUCCUGGGUGAUCAAUGAUUGACAACUAACAAUAAGUGGAUGCCAAUUAAAUUCUCUUUUUUAAACACAGAAGCCCUAUUGAUGAAAUGGUUGUGACAGCCCAGUUAAUCAUCGAUACUGCCUUUUCCAUGUAUCGUCUAUCAUUGGUUAAAACGGAACCUAAUAACAAGCAAGAAUAUUCGAUCGGAAGAAUCUCAGUUACUUCAGAACAGGAAACGAUUACAGGAUAAUCAGAAUCAUCCACGUUUAAUUGUAAAAUAGUUUUACAAUCGGAUCCUUAUAAUCGAUUAGUAACGAUCGAAUUAACGCUUUUCAAUUAAAACUUUCUGUCGAUUGGGAUGAGCUCUGGACGUUGAUAAAACAUCGAUUCCAUGCAAGAGACAAUGCCUGAAGAAUUUCAACGUGGAGUCAAUUUGAUGAUUACAUUUAUUUUAUAUUUAUCGAAAGAUCAAAUUGUACGACAUACAUAAUACAUCCACUUCGUUGGAAGUUUACGAGACAGUAGACGUUAUCUAUCCUUGUGCAACGACACGAAGAUUCGCCAACAGCUGCGGCAAUCGUUGGAAAAAGAUACGGGAGCGUGCAAUGUUUUAACUCGAUUCAGAAUUACCAGCUUGAACACGUGUACACGUGUAUCCCCUUGUUGCGCGUUCACCGCGGCCAUUAAAGCCGCAGCUUUAACUGACCCCGGUGGAGCUUUGCCGAUAUAUUUUCCGUAGAGGCCAGUAAACGCUGCAGUAAGUUGCUCACAGAUCUGUCGAUCGACAUUUUACUGAAUUGUCUGGAACUAACUGUACUUGAAAUUGGUCUUGAUCUCUACCUCUAUAAAUUAUAUUUAUAGACUUUGUCAGUUCUAUUAAUGAAACAGAUUAAAAAUUUCUUUAACAAUUUUUGAGAAUUCAUACUAUUUAAAAACAUAUCAAGAUCUUGCAUAGUAAAUGUAAAUGCCUAUAAAUAACAAGAAGAUAGAGGAAGAUAUUUUUCCUGGUAUUCAAGCACUAAAUCGUCAAAUCAUCCCAUUAUUCAAAUCAGAAGACAAUCAAUCAUCUAAUCAACGAUUCAAACUCUAAUUAUCAAGAGACUCUCAAAGUUCCUACUUCAAGAUUGGAAACCGUGGAAUUCCAUUAAAGUACAGGUUCGCCCCAUCGAUGGUUGAAUUGCAAGAAAAUGCGGACAGAGUAAGUCGAUUCCACGACCGCAUCGAACAAAACGCUAUUCGCGAUACAUGAAGGGGACGAGUUAUCCUCGAUAUCCUUUUUUUCACUAGUAUCGAGAACAUGCACACCCCGAUGACUGAUCGUGGGAGCUCUUAUUAAAGCGAUUCACGUUGUAAUUCUUCGCAAUCCACGUUUCAAAAGGCGAUGAACUAUAACGUUUUCAUUAGUCCCCUAGCUCGCUACGUGUAAUUCCAGUGCACUGGUUUUGCCUUUUCGAGUCGUUUCCAUUCCAAGCGGUAUAUAUCUCCGUGGUUCAUGGCCAAUGAGAAUGCGAUCCGGCUUCUACCUCAAGGUAUUCUCUGCUCUUCUCUGUUUCCGCCGGAAGCCGCCGACUCGAUUAAUCGUCGAUGGAAGAUAACGUCAGAGUCAAUUUCUUUGAGAGAAAAAGAAAUUCGUCCCUUCGUUUGUGUUUUAUGUACAAUUUUUGGAUAAUUUGAAAGUUUUUUCGAAGUUUUGGAAAGAAAAAUUUAAUCUUUGUUUUCUUGAACGAGAAGAGAGGUUAUCAAAAUAUCAGCGAAGAAAAAGUAUCAACGCUUUUCUCUUUUAAACUUAAAAAAUUUUUUUUUUUAACAAGAAAAGUGUUUCAAAAGAAGGGGAAUAAUUAUCAAUAACGAUGAAAUAGCUUUCUUGUUGUAAAACUUGUAAAGUAUUUCGGUAGCAUUGAGGUUAUAGAAUCGGUGCGUCGGAUCUCUAUGCACAAUGAAUGCUGGCACGAGGAGUUACCGCAAUGGUGCCAUUUGCUGCCGGAAACGUUGACCAGGGUAUCGUAAAGAAGUUCAGAGAAGCCUCGAAAAUGUUCACUGGAAGGCGACUUCUUUCCUUUGCGAGUGGCUGAAAGAAAUUGAAUUUACCGCUUCGUGAGAAAUACCAAGAUCUAGCUACGUUCGAAUCUCGUGGCCAUUUUGAGCCCAUCUUUGAGAAGCCAGAAACAGUUAAUAGGAUCAUAAAAAUUAAUAAAUCUAUUGGAAUAUUUAAUUACAACUCGUCAUUUUAUCUUUUUAUACUUUAAAUAUUACUGUGAAUGUUAACAAAUUUAAGAAGACACAGAUGAUUUGAUAAAACAAAAAUUAAAUAUCAAAAUUGGCCACGUGGCAAACGAAUCCCUGAUGGAAUGUUAAAGUUCGACAUCCAUGAAAGGAAACCAUUUCUCAACCAACUCUUCGAACGGUAACGAUAGUAGAAGAAAAGAAGGGGCAUGAAGGAAGUUUCGCAGAAACGUAAUAACUCUGGCAAAGAUUAGACGGAUAAGAGGGAACCGUCAAGACGUCUACUUCGUAAGAUAAGAUUCGGCAGAGACGCUUUGAAGCCUUUCGUAUCGAUAAUGUAACUUUGACCGACCAGUCGUGUAACAUUGAAUCGCUCAAUUACCAGAUCCAAGUAUAAACCGUGCAAUGACUUCUGCACUUGGCAAAAAGAAAAUUGGAAAAAUCGACUGAUACGGAGUCCUAAUAAAAAUGAUCAUUUUUUUAUCGAUCAUCUUUUUUCAAUUAAUAAAUUUCUAAAUUAUUUCAAAGAAUUCAUUAACAUAUAAUUAUCAUAGAAAUAUUUUAAUUAUAAUUUCUUCUUAAUUUCUAAUUUCGGCAUUUUCAUUUCAGGGAAGGAAUCUAAUUAAUCAAGAUAAGAAUUUAAUUCGUAAACUAUCGUCUAUUGCUUGGAAACCGACACUUCGUCCAAUAAAUAAUCCGAAUGAGAGAGUCAUCAAGAAGAGUUAUCUUCUUCGUGAAUCGAUUUAUGGUUCGUGAAUCAACGUGAAGACACGAAACGUGGAAUCCAUCUUGGAAAUUACUGGAUGAACGGAAGAAUGCUUGCACAUUGUCGACAGACACCAGGAACGAGAAUCUGAACAAGAUUAGGCUAGUUUCCAAGUCAGCCGAGAGGACAGCCGUGCCACGCGACACUUUGCCGGCGACCAGUCCCUAAUGAUCGUUCGCAUUUGUCGAAUUUAAUUCCGGAUAUUCGAUUCCUAAAUGCCUCGGGGCGAGACGAAAGCCAGCUACCGAUGGAAUCGAUUCGAACAUAUCCCUGCUGGAGUUCAAGGGGUUGGAUAGUUAUCGGGAACGAUAAAAACGAUAGACUAUAGAAGACGGGAAUGAAAUACUAUCUUGACCCUAUUUACCGGCCUAUAUAGAUUCUUUUGCUUAUGAAUCGGUUGUUUAAACCGAUGUCUGAUAACAUAGUUUCUUUGAUUCCAAUCAAAUGUAAUAUCCACCGGUAUUACUGUGAUAAUAUUUGAUCACUUAUCACUUAUAUAGAUGGAUGUGGAUCGGUCAAUUAAUUAAAUUGGAUUUUUCUUUCUUAUUUCUUGAAAAAUAUGAUAUAAGUGAAAAAAAAUUACAUUCUGCUGCUACUUUUUUACUAAUUUAAUAAUUUGAUGAAAAAUAAUCAACAAAAGCAGUGCAUAACGAACGGUGGAGAUCGACAAGAAAUAGUUAAAGGAAUGCUGGAAAUGCUUCGUGUAUGCCUUGCGACAUUAAUCCAUUUUCAGAUAACCAUGCUCUCUGGUCGCUUAAACCUGACAAACUGUUUUCUCUGUGUUCAGACAAAACGACAAGACAAUCAGAUUUUUUAGGAAUUAUGCACAAUUAUGUCAGGAUCGUGGAGUUAGAAAUUUUUAAAACUUUGAAUGUCAUUUUCCGACGGUAAAAUUUUUAUGUAAGCGUAAAAACGUCUAAUCAAUAGAAAUUGCGCAUGAACGAACAAUGCACUUUAUGUUUAAUAGCGUUGUUAAAAAUUAUGAUUAUGAAUUGGAAAAUGGUUUGAAAGUUUUGAAACUAGAAGAGAAUCUUUAUAGUUCAAUAGGUUAGAACAAAGAGAUUGAUUAUUAAACUGGAUAAGUAUCAAUGGUGUCAAGAAAUAUUUUAAAAAAUAUAUAAUUUCACGGAUCACAGUAUUUGGUCUUUUGACGUAUAGCCAGAUUAUCAUUGCAAAUGUUGCCCUUACAAAUACAAUUAGGACAAUUAUAGAAAAUCAUGUGAGACAACACGAAAACUCACAUAAAAUUAUGAAAUCUCAUAAUGGACCGAGAAGCAAUGUACACACAUCACAUAUUUUCAAUUUUAUCAAUAUCAUUUCACAUUAACUCGUAUACAAGUUGAUUCAACACCUAAAAGAUUUCUUCCUUUUCGUUUUACAGAAACUGGCUCGAUCAUUAACCAAAGAUAAUCAGGAUGGCGGACGCAUAACUUGAUCAAUCCUCGACGAUCUUGGCGAUGUAUUUUUUUUUCUCUAUUUCUUUUCCUUAUUUCUCUCUCCCUUUUUAGUUCGCAGUUGCGCAAUCUUCCCCGCACUUUGAACGGUCUCGUUUCACCGUCUGCUCCGCUCCUUCGAGCAGAUUUAUUCUAUUUAUUCGCUCAACCUCGAGGGAAGUCGGCCGAUUACGUCGAAAUUCCUUCUCCAAAGCCCUGCGAAUCGACCUCUUUCCAAUCUUUCUCUCGCUCUUUCCUUUUCUCCUUCUCUCCCUUUCUCUCUUCUAGCCAAGCUUUCGAGUGUUUACUCGCGUGUUCGAGUUCUGUCAGUAUCACACGCUCUCCGCCAAACAAAUCGAUCGUCUCCUAUCGCCGCCUCUUUUCGCCGAUUUUCGCCCGCCUUUCGACUCGACCGAUCCCCCGGGACCACGAAGCUUUUACGGGUGAGAAACCAGGGGACCGCCAAGAUCAAUUCAAACCAGUGUACAAUAUAUGCGUCGUGUCCACGAUAACGGAUACGUGACAAUGUUCUUUCACGAACGUAAUAAGAUCCACCUGAAAUACGGUCUAUCUGGAUAAAACGACAAAGUUAAAUCGUACUUACAUGUCCAAGGAUCAGCCACGUUGAACGACCGGCUUAGGUACGAAGUUCUCGUCGCCUGGUGCGAGGAGAAUCGGCUUGGCAACCGAUGGAGUCGCGCGUGUGAACGUCCCUCGACACACAACGUGCACGCUUAUCCGGGCCUCACAGCCGCGUCUUCCCUUCUAUUGCGACGUCGCGCCUCCUCAUCUCGCCAUCACUUGUCCACGCAGAUAUUCUUCCUCACUUUCUUCCUUCACCAAAAAUUCCAUCUGUGCAUCCUCCUCCUCCUCCUCCUCCUCCGAAAACACAAUAUAAACGACUCCCCUCGAAUUUUUCCUUCUCCAAAGUUGACCAACCGUUGAAUCAAUUCGGUAAACGUCCACCAAGGAGGCGAGGGUAUCGGGUUUCUCGCGUUGUAUAUACGAGCCCCCUCUACUCUCCCACCGAAUCGGCCUUCGUUCGUUCGUACGAGGAAACGAGGAGAAACAAGGAGAAAGAAUGUCGGAAGGCAGGUCAGUGCGUUGCGAUCGCGAGCCGUGCUUCCAAAAAAUUACGAUAUCCUUUUGCACAAGAAGCAACAGCAACCAAACCGACACCACACGAUUCGUCGAUGAAAAAAAAAAAACAAGACCGAAACUAAAGACCCAAAGAUAUACCGAUUCACUCUCUGAGCGCGAUGAAUGACGAGGGCACCGAGGAGAGGAGAGCGAAGCGGCCGACGAACGACCGUACGAACGAGGCGGCUGAAAGCACCGGAGAAAGAGUAGGAGUAGUGCGAAGAAGCAACGUCGAGGAGGGGUGUACCAAGCGGUGGAUCCAAGGUGGGGGGAGCGAUUUGGGUGGCGGGCAGGCGACUAGGGGUGGCUCUGAAGCCCGGUAGUUGUGCUCUCGCUCUUGCCUGCCUGCUUGCCUACCUGUCUGCCAGUCUGGUUUGCCUGCCCGAAGAUUUGCUCGACUGUCUAGAUGCUUGCUCGCCAAACUAGCUCGCUUUUAGUCGCCUCGCCUUCGCCGUUCCGCUUUCCACGCUCUUUUUCUGUCACGCUCGCGCGCGCUCUCUCUCUCUCCCUCUCUGUGCUUUUCUCUCUUUGUCCGAGUGUGUCUCUUUGGUUGCGCAGGACCCGCCGCGCGACCCGGCCAAACCCAGAACCCGGCGCGUAGGUACCGCGGGCUCGCAUUCGAGCUCCAGCCACCCCAGCUGCUCUAUCCCCACCAGACUAGUCAACCCCCUCGGUCAGUGAUGUGUCGAGCAAGCACAGGGCCAUGUCGGAAUAUAAAUUGGAGAAUUUCUGUGUUGUCGCUGAAUCAGAGAAAUUAUCUCGUUCGGUUAUAUUUAUAAAUUACACGCAUUCUUUAUCUCUCUGUUUCUCUCUCUUUGGUUUGGAUCACUAGAAAAUUGUAAAAAUUUGGUAUUAUUAAUAAAUGAAUCGAUUGAUCGAUUGAUUUGAUUGAUCAAAGAAACGAUAAAAGAGCAAUUGAAAGAGAAAUUUUUCUAUGAAGGAUCUUUAGAAGUACGUUUUAUAAAUAAAUUACGUCGAAGUUGAGGUUAUAAAUAUAAUAGAGAUGUAAAAGGAUAAGAAGAGCAAUCGAGCGAUGGAUCUGUAGGACCUUUAAAAAUGGUGGAGUGACGAGGGGCGGAGGCGAAUGGGCGAUUAACGACGAGCUGGCAGCGAUAGGCUCGUAUCGUAGGAGAAGGGAAUAUUAGUAAAAUUUUAUUUCGCGCAUUCGAAAACCGGCAAUUACGCUCUUGGAAAGAAAAAGAAUAGUCGAGGCUACUCGAGGAGAAGACGUUGCUCGUCCUACUUUCCCUCCUCGCCACUUCUAUGCUCCCCGUUACUUCUUGUUUCUCGCCGGCUGAACGCUUCCCCUUUCGAAUAGCCUGCAAUCAAAUACGUGCGCGUAAAUGGACCGUUUCCAGCCGAGCCGAGAAUUUUAGGCCAUUCGAGACGAGCGAGAGAUAAUUAAAAGAAAACUAACAACACCAUCGAUAUUUAAACGAGUUUGGCGAGCAUCACCGACACGUAUAUCGAGUUGACAAGGGAGAAAGAUGCUUUUCUUUUAACUUAAUUAAUUAAACGGAAUAAUCGUUCUGUCGGAGAGAUAACAAUUAACGAUAUCAAAACGACAAUGAUAAAACGUGAUUAAACGAUUCAAGUGAGAAUUAUCGAUUGCGACCUGAGGCAGUUCGCUUCCCUUGAAUUAGUUAGACAACAAACCACAAAGCUGAGCCUCUCUCCGUCUCUCACUCUUUCCUCGCUGUCCUCCUCCUCCUCCUCCUCCUCCUCUAUCUGUGAUGCUAAGUAAUUGUCGUGUCGUAAACGAAAUGUUACUUGCAUAAAUAUCUCUUUAUCAGAAAUUCACUGAUCCGAUGAACAGAAAGAAUUUAAAUUUCAAUAACACGGACGUAAUCGUGUUAUAUAUCUGAAAUAUUACGAUUAAUUUUUUUCUUGGAACGGUGAUGGACAAAUUUAGUGAUAUUUUUAGAGGUUAACUUCAAUACGAUACGUAAUUCACGAUCACUUGUUAAACCAUUUCUGAAACUGAUAUCAUAAAAAAAAAAGUAAUAAUAAUAAUAAUCAAUGUUAAAUUUCUAGAAGAGCGAUGAUUUAAAAAAAAAAUCGAAAAUCGCAUUUACGUAUAUGCGAUAUAGUUAACAAGGAAAACAAUGAAUUCUGUAUUUACACGCAGGCGGAAGAUAUCCUGUUGCACCUGUUUCAUAAUUUAUCGUGGAGAAUUAACGCGACGUCGGAUUGUCAUUUCAUUCGUGACAAUUCCGUGAGAUUGUUCCGCCUCGAAGAGACCACAUAAUGAUACUAAAUUUCAGACGACGAGGCUAGCACUCGGAGCAUGCCAGUAUUUUUAGAAACGUCCAUUUAAAGUAUUCGCCAAGCGUGAGGCCGUACGAAGUCUAGACUGUCUUCUUAAUUGCACCUCGAUGAUUCAGAAUGUAAAUCUUUUCUCAACCUGGGUAAUCUUUUAUACGAAUAUUAUUUUUUUUCUCUGUUCUCCCAUAAAAAUAUAUAUUCCAUAAAUGGAAAAAAAUUUAACUAUAUUGUAGAUUAAAACAUUCAAAUUAUAAAUUAUAAUUAAGAAAUUGACAAACGAAUAUUUUAUUUUUUUGUUUUUUCAUAUGUAUUAUAUAUACAUAUACAUUAAAUUAAAAAAUAUUUUUUCCUAUAAAUUAAAAAUAAAUAGUAAAAAUGUUAAACAAAAUUCGAUACUCUGGUUUGCUCGUCGAUCUUUAGUCAUUUGAAGUAGUCCUAGGCUCUCGAGUGCCGUCUUACGGCACUAACGACAACGCCAGCCCCCUCCAAACACUGAUUCUACUCCCUUCUCGUGCUCCCCUCUCCAGGUCAAGCUCCGCGAUCAGCAUCGAGCCGCACCACCGUAUACCCAUUUCAGCGUACCGUGCUCACUCGACAAGUCUGGACGAAACUUCAAUGAAUCUUUGUUUAGAAAGAAUUUUAACGAAUAAUUCCUAAGAUAUUAAAAUAUUUUUUAAUCAAAAAAAGAUUUUUCAGGAUUGGCGCAUUCUACUUCUAUUGUAACAAAAUUGAAUUUUUCUUCAAAAAAAAGUUAAUCAUUCUUUCUUUCAUUUCUUCCCUCUACUUUCAUUUCUUCUGAUCCCUCGCUUUUUGUAAAAUAUUCGGCAUAAAAAAUUUCGAAAUCUCGAAGGAAAAUCGAGUAGUAGAAAUUUGUAGAAAUUUAUGUUCAAAUCCUUCCAUUCUUCCUUUAUCUCAAUUUUUUAAAAAAAUUUCUAAAAUUAAUAAUAUAUCCAAAAAAAAAUUUUUUUUCAAAUAUGCAACGAAACGAGUUAACGAGGACUAAAAAUCUGAUCACUCGUUAUAUCUCUUUAUGAUUAAAAUCUCAGUAUCGUGUUUCCUUUACAAAAGUCUGGUUAGCUUCAAUCUUGUGCAAACUACCUUGAUUUUCUUCCUUCGGAAGCUUUUCACUUUCUUCUUUCUCUCUACUUCCUCUUGAACUCGAGAUUCUGGUAAGAAGAAGAAGAAGAAGAAAAAGUCUGGAAACGAAGCAAACGGUUUUCCAAUCAAUCGAACUCCAUGAACGAAACGUUCGUAUACAUAGUAGAAGAUACGCGUGAAGAUCCGUGCCGUGAUAAUUAGCCAGCUAUCGAAGUUUCUCUCGAGCUUUUGCGUAGCUUGGAAACAACUUAACUUUAGAUGCAUCAAUUUCGAAGAUAAGCGAACAAAAUCUCUUUCUUUUUAGGAUAAACGAUCAAUUGUGAUGAAUAAAAUGAUAAGUGAUAAAUAAAAAAAAAAAAAACAAA
Molecule: long non-coding RNA, 14870 nt
Organism: Apis cerana (Asiatic honeybee)
Lineage: Eukaryota; Metazoa; Arthropoda; Insecta; Hymenoptera; Apidae
Source: RefSeq, a predicted model, not a curated record